Molecule: ribosomal RNA, 461 nt
Filed under: uncultured bacterium
Lineage: Bacteria
Description: partial 16S ribosomal RNA
Rfam family: Bacterial small subunit ribosomal RNA
Source: RNAcentral
GAUAAACGCUGGCGGCGUGCUUAACACAUGCAAGUCGAACGAAGUUUUUCUUUCGGGAGGAACUUAGUGGCGGACGGGUGAGUAACGCGCGGGUAACCUGCCCUGUACAGGGGGACAACAGCUGGAAACGGCUGCUAAUACCGCAUAAGCCCUUAGCACUGCAUGGUGCAUAGGGAAAAGGAGCAAUCCGGUACAGGAUGGACCCGCGUCUGAUUAGCCAGUUGGCAGGGUAACGGCCUACCAAAGCGACGAUCAGUAGCCGAUCUGAGAGGAUGUACGGCCACAUUGGGACUGAGACACGGCCCAGACUCCUACGGGAGGCAGCAGUGGGGAAUAUUGCACAAUGGAGGAAACUCUGAUUGAGCGACGCCGCGUGAGUGAAGAAGUAUUUCGGUAUGUAAAGCUCUAUCAGCAGGAAAGAAAAUGACGGUACCGGACUAAGAAGCACCGGCUAAAUACGU